GCAGAAAUGGCAGAUAAGUGCAUUAGAUUUAGGAUCUAAAUAUAAAGAGUAUAUUCUUUUUUCUGUA
This 67-nucleotide transfer RNA is filed under the name Pila virens. RNAcentral's name for it is "tRNA-Leu". It matches the Rfam family "tRNA". From Rfam's summary of the family: Transfer RNA (tRNA) molecules are approximately 80 nucleotides in length. Their secondary structure includes four short double-helical elements and three loops (D, anti-codon, and T loops). Lineage: Eukaryota; Metazoa; Mollusca; Gastropoda; Architaenioglossa; Ampullariidae. The record is from RNAcentral.